UGCACCAUUCUUCAUUUAGCAGACAGUGUUUUAUUCAGAGUGACUUUUCUACUGCAGUGCCAGUCCACCUGGAGCAACCUCGGGGCUAAAUGACUUGCUGUAGGGCACAGUGUUCUUUGUCUAUAUGCAUUUGCAAAAUUGGUGACAUCUUGAAUCUACAUUAUUCUCCAGGUUCCCCCUGUUCACGGCUGUUUAUCAGAUCUGUUUCGAGGGCAAGCCAGUUCAGGACAUGAUCACCUGCCUGCAGAGCCAUCCAGAGCACCUGUGAGAGUCCCACAUUGUCCCUCUUCUCCACCAUCAUCCCCUAUGGUCCAGUUCUACACUAAUGGCUAGGCUUGAACUCAGGGGUUUGUUUCUGACCUUGCAGGUUUUGUUGUUAUCAAACAUGACAAUGAACUCAAAGAGAUUUUUCAGAAACUAUGAAAAGUUGGAGUUUUUAACUAUUUUCUCUCUGUCUGACUGCCCUCUUGUGGAUGGUCCACAAUAUCACCUCACUGACAGAUGAGAUGAAAUGACUCUUUAUAAAUUACUAUAGAGAUCUCUUCAUAGAGGCUCACUACACGUCCAUAUUGAGAGCAACACGACAAGACUAGAAUGCCUCUGUUACAGUCUUUAAUAUCCUGUAGAACCAGCAUGAUACCAGUUUUUUGAUACUUUCACAUAUUGUUCGACACAGGCAUAAGAUAGGUUUAAAACUAAGUAUGCAAUUCAAAUUGCUUAGUUUCUUAUUAAUAAAUAAUGAAACUGCCAUUUACACUGAACAUUUUGGCACAUGUUAGAUGAAGUAAAACUAGAUUUCUGUGAAGAUGCCUUUUAACUCCUCACAGGUCAAUGAAUACUUGAAUGGACUCGCUAUGGGUUUGAGGUUGUUUUUGUUUUGAGGGGAGAUUUUGUUUUGUUUUAAAGGACAAUAUAUUCUAUAAAGGGGGCUUAAAUCUGUCAUCUCAAUUUCCCAGCAACCCCCUUUUAAGACUAAGUGCUUACAAAACUUGUUAUAGAACGACAUAGUUGACUAUACGUUUUAUCACGUUACAUUAAAAACAAUACAAUGCUACAUAUCUAAGCUUCAACAAUGCAUUGAAAUCCUCUUAGAAACCCCCAAUUAUUGAUGCCCUAUGUAGUAACUGUUUUAGCAUCCUGAAAAGCUGAUAAACUACAUCUACAGUUCCUGUUUUAAUAAUUCACAUUUCUAUGAAGAUUGGCAUUAAAAUACUAAUGUAAUCUUUAGUUGUACUAAGCAAAGAAUGAAGGAAUGAUUUAGUAAGAUCUGUAGUGUUCACAUGAGGGAGAGUGUUACGGGAGCAGCUAGUGUUUGGAUCCAUAAUGGCCUUCUUUUUUAGCACUAUACUGUGCU
This is a long non-coding RNA of Sinocyclocheilus anshuiensis, 1354 nucleotides long. RefSeq lists it as uncharacterized. NCBI's taxonomy places the organism in Eukaryota, Metazoa, Chordata, Actinopteri, Cypriniformes, Cyprinidae. The transcript is spliced from 2 exons. The record is from RefSeq and is a predicted model, not a curated record.